ACGCACGCUGGCGGCGUGCUUAACACAUGCCAGUCGAACGGAAAGGCCCUGCUUUUGUGGGGUGCUCGAGUGGCGAACGGGCGAGUAACACGUGAGUAACCUGCCCUUGACUUUGGGAUAACUUCAGGAAACUGGGGCUAAUACCGGAUAGGAGCUCCUGCUGCAUGGUGGGGGUUGGAAAGUUUCGGCGGUUGGGGAUGGACUCGCGGCUUAUCAGCUUGUUGGUGGGGUAGUGGCUUACCAAGGCUUUGACGGGUAGCCGGCCUGAGAGGGUGACCGGCCACAUUGGGACUGAGAUACGGCCCAGACUCCUACGGGAGGCAGCAGUGGGGAAUAUUGCACAAUGGGCGGAAGCCUGAUGCAGCAACGCCGCGUGCGGGAUGACGGCCUUCGGGUUGUAAACCGCUUUCGCCUGUGACGAAGCGUGAGUGACGGUAAUGGGUAAAGAAGCACCGGCUAACUACGUG
RNAcentral lists this ribosomal RNA (467 nucleotides) under uncultured bacterium. RNAcentral describes it as "partial 16S ribosomal RNA". It matches the Rfam family "Bacterial small subunit ribosomal RNA", at positions 29 to 507 of the family's 1533-position model. The record is from RNAcentral.